This 301-nucleotide ribosomal RNA is filed under the name uncultured bacterium. RNAcentral's name for it is "partial 16S ribosomal RNA". It matches the Rfam family "Bacterial small subunit ribosomal RNA", at positions 509 to 809 of the family's 1533-position model. The record is from RNAcentral.
CAGCCGCCGCGGUAAUACGAAGGGUGCAAGCGUUAAUCGGAAUUACUGGGCGUAAAGCGUGCGCAGGCGGUUUGUUAAGACAGAUGUGAAAUCCCCGGGCUCAACCUGGGAACUGCAUUUGUGACUGGCAAGCUAGAGUGUGGCAGAGGGGGGUGGAAUUCCGCGUGUAGCAGUGAAGUGCGUAGAUAUGCGGAGGAACACCGAUGGCGAAGGCAGCCCCCUGGGCCAACACUGACGCUCAUGCACGAAAGCGUGGGGAGCAAACAGGAUUAGAUACCCCAGUAGUCCCUGUCUCUUAUAA